UAUCUAAAUUGUUAUAAAUGGGGCAGUAUAUGUACCUUUCCAGAUACCUAAUCAUAGCUUAAUCAUUACUGGUGUCUUUUUCCUUUCUCCUUCUACAGAAAACAGGCUUCACAUAGGAUCUCUAAAUUUAAAGGGUGUGAAGAAGAAAAAUCAUGUUUCCAGCUUGGGCUGCUGUUUCAUCUGCUGGACUUACUUGAACCCUGAAUGGAAAGGAUUGCUAUGCACACAUUUUGGAUACAGAAACUGAGGCUCAGAGAGGUUAAACAACUUUCCUAAAGCCACACAGCUAGAGAGUUGAUCCGAACUGAAGAUUGUUUCACAUCAAAGCUCAUUUCUUCCCUAAAUGGCAGCAUUCCCUUCUGACUUAUUAAUUUGAUUUCUGCCCUCCCCUCGUGGAAGUUAAUUAAAAGAAUGUGAGAACCUUUUAGAAAAU
Molecule: long non-coding RNA, 433 nt
Organism: Cebus imitator (Panamanian white-faced capuchin)
Lineage: Eukaryota; Metazoa; Chordata; Mammalia; Primates; Cebidae
Exons: 3
Source: RefSeq, a predicted model, not a curated record